Molecule: ribosomal RNA, 472 nt
Filed under: Leucobacter sp. canine oral taxon 292
Lineage: Bacteria; Bacillati; Actinomycetota; Actinomycetes; Micrococcales; Microbacteriaceae
Description: bacterial SSU rRNA
Rfam family: Bacterial small subunit ribosomal RNA
Source: RNAcentral
GAGUUUGAUUAUGGCUCAGGACGAACGCUGGCGGCGUGCUUAACACAUGCAAGUCGAACGGUAAGGCCCUUUUGGGGGUACACGAGUGGCGAACGGGUGAGUAACACGUGAGUAACCUGCCCUUGACUCUGGGAUAAUUCUUCGAAAGAGGUUGUAAUACUGGAUAUGAGCUUCUGCCGCAUGGUGGGGGUUGGAAAGUUCUGGCGGUCAGGGAUGGGCUCGCGGCCUAUCAGCUUGUUGGUGAGGUAGUGGCUUACCAAGGCGACGACGGGUAGCCGGCCUGAGAGGGCGACCGGCCACACUGGGACUGAGACACGGCCCAGACUCCUACGGGAGGCAGCAGUGGGGAAUAUUGCACAAUGGGCGCAAGCCUGAUGCAGCAACGCCGCGUGAGGGAUGACGGCCUUCGGGUUGUAAACCUCUUUUAGUAGGGAAGAAAGCGUAAAGUGACGNACCUACAGAAAAAGCACCC